CAAUAGCGUAUAUUCAAGUUGUUGCGGUUAAAAAGCUCGUAGUUGGACUUCUGUGGUGCUUGCGCCACUCCGCACUAUGUGCUGGAGGAGGUUGCAGCGCCACAUUUGGCUGGGUGUUGCGUUUCGGCGUUGCGUUCAGCCCCUUUACCUUGAAGAAAUCAAAGUGUUCCAAGCAGGCAAGCGCCUUGCAUGCAUUAGCUGGGGAUAAUAACAAAGAGUUCAGUUGCUCUCGUUGGUUCAAGUAGCUGGAUUUAAGAUUAAUAGGAACAGUUGGGGGCAUUCGUAUUUGGCCGUCAGAGGUGAAACUCUUGGAUUGGUCAACGACGAACUACUGCGAAANCANNNGCCAAGGAUGUUUUCAUNGA
RNAcentral lists this ribosomal RNA (365 nucleotides) under uncultured eukaryote. RNAcentral describes it as "partial 18S ribosomal RNA". It matches the Rfam family "Eukaryotic small subunit ribosomal RNA", at positions 592 to 976 of the family's 1831-position model. The record is from RNAcentral.